GCAAACUUGGUCAUUUAGAGGAAGUAAAAGUCGUAACAAGGUUUCCGUAGGUGAACCUGCGGAAGGAUCAUUAUUGAAAGAAGACGUCGGGGAUGUUGCUGGCACUGCGGUGCAAAAAAAAGUGCACUCCCUGGCGGAUCAACUUUCUUCAAACCUUUUGUGCACUUGCUUGUAGCGUGUGGUUAGGGGUCCGGACUUGGCGUCUGAAACCCCCCCUCCUCACUCUAUGUAUCCCCAUUUUUAAUUCAUGCUCGAAUGUACCAUGAAUGUAGAACCCGCUUAUCCGGGGCCUAACCACGGCUCCUGAUUCGAAAUAAAUUUACACAACUUUCAACAAUGGAUCUCUUGGCUCUCGCAUCGAUGAAGAACGCAGC
This 374-nucleotide unclassified non-coding RNA is filed under the name uncultured fungus. RNAcentral's name for it is "partial contains small subunit ribosomal RNA, internal transcribed spacer 1, and 5.8S ribosomal RNA". The stretch from base 1 to 73 matches the Rfam family "Eukaryotic small subunit ribosomal RNA", at positions 1759 to 1831 of the family's 1831-position model. The record is from RNAcentral. Lineage: Eukaryota; Fungi.